AUGGAGGGAACCUUUGAGGACUUAAGCAACUGGUCGCCCAUACAGAAAGUGGUAAAACUGGGCUCCUGCUUGACCACCUCCAUCCCUCGCCCCAGGUUUCUUGACACCAGAUCCAGUGCUAUUUACACCACCACCCAGGCCAGGAAUUUGUGGAAGAAACUGGCGGAAUGGCCAAAGACUAUGACAGGUCUUCCCAGCACAUCAGGAACAACUGCCAGUGUGGUCAUCAUACGGGGCAUGAAGAUGUAUGUAGCUCACGUAGGUGACUCAGGGGUGGUUCUUGGAAUUCAGGAUGACCCAAAGGAUGACUUUGUCAGAGCUGUGGAGGUGACACAGGACCAUAAGCCAGAACUUCCCAAGGAAAGAGAACGAAUCGAAGGACUUGGCGGAAGUGUGAUGAACAAGUCUGGGGUGAAUCGUGUAGUUUGGAAACGACCUCGGCUCACUCACAAUGGACCUGUUAGAAGAAGCACAGUUAUUGACCAGAUUCCUUUUCUGGCAGUAGCAAGAGCACUUGGUGAUUUGUGGAGCUAUGAUUUCUUCAGUGGUGAGUUUGUGGUGUCACCUGAACCAGACACAAGUGUCCACACUCUUGACCCUCAGAAGCACAAGUAUAUUAUAUUGGGGAGUGAUGGGCUUUGGAAUAUGAUUCCACCACAAGAUGCCAUCUCAAUGUGCCAGGACCAAGAGGAGAAAAAAUACCUGAUGGGUGAGCAUGGACAAUCUUGUGCCAAAAUGCUUGUGAAUCGAGCAUUGGGCCGCUGGAGGCAGCGUAUGCUCCGAGCAGAUAACACUAGUGCCAUAGUUAUCUGCAUCUCUCCAGAAGUGGACAAUCAGGGAAACUUUACCAAUGAAGAUGAGUUAUACCUGAACCUGACUGAUAGCCCUUCCUAUAAUAGUCAAGAAACCUGUGUGAUGACUCCUUCCCCACGUUCUACACCACCAGUCAAGUCCCUGGAGGAGGAUCCAUGGCCAAGGCUGAACUCUAAGGACCAUAUACCUGCCCUGGUUCGUAGCAAUGCCUUCUCAGAGAAUUUUUUAGAGGUUUCAGCUGAGAUAGCUCGAGGGAAUAUCCAGGGUGUAGUCAUACCCUCAAAAGAUCCAGAACCACUUGAAGAAAAUUGCGCUAAAGCCCUGACUUUAAGGAUACAUGAUUCUUUGAAUAAUAGCCUUCCAGUUGGCCUUGUGCCUACUAACUCAACAAACACUGUCAUGGACCAAAAAAAUUUGAAGAUGUCAACUCCUGGCCAAAUGAAAGCCCAAGAAAUUGAAAGAACCCCUCCAACAAACUUUAAAAGGACACUAGAAGAGUCCAAUUCUGGCCCCCUGAUGAAGAAACAUAGACGAAAUGGCUUAAGUCGAAGUAGUGGUGCUCAGCCUGCAAGUCUCCCUACAACCUCACAGCGAAAGAACUCUGUUAAACUCACCAUGCGACGCAGACUUAGGGGCCAGAAGAAAAUUGGAAAUCCUUUACUUCAUCAACACAGGAAAACUGUUUGUGUUUGCUGAAAUGCAUCUGGGAAAUGAGGUUUUUCCAAAUUUAGGAGAGGGCUUUUUAAAUUUGGUGCCGAAGUUGAACUUUUUUUUAAGGAGACAAAAUUAAAAGAAUAUACAGUUUGACUUUUUGGAAUUCAGCAGUUUUAUCCUGGCCUUGUACUUGCUUGUAUUAUAAAUGUGGAUUUUAUAGAUGUUAGGGUAUAAGUUGCUGUAAAAUUUGUGUAAAUUUGUAUCCACACAAAUUCAGUCUCUUACUCUGAUACACAGUAAUUGUGACAACAGGGCUAAAUGUUUAAAGAAAUCAAAAGAAUCUAUUAGAUUUUAGAAAAACAUUUAAGCUUUUUAAAAUACUUAUUAAAAAAUUUGUAUAAGCCAAAAAAAAAA
RNA transcript from Rhinopithecus roxellana (golden snub-nosed monkey), 1881 nucleotides. It is a transcript of the gene named protein phosphatase 1D pseudogene, with no coding region annotated. The record is from RefSeq and is a predicted model, not a curated record. The transcript has 2 exons. Lineage: Eukaryota; Metazoa; Chordata; Mammalia; Primates; Cercopithecidae.